This 253-nucleotide ribosomal RNA is filed under the name Dorea formicigenerans. RNAcentral's name for it is "partial 16S ribosomal RNA". It matches the Rfam family "Bacterial small subunit ribosomal RNA", at positions 524 to 776 of the family's 1533-position model. The record is from RNAcentral. Lineage: Bacteria; Bacillati; Bacillota; Clostridia; Lachnospirales; Lachnospiraceae.
UACGUAGGGGGCAAGCGUUAUCCGGAUUUACUGGGUGUAAAGGGAGCGUAGACGGCUGUGCAAGUCUGAAGUGAAAGGCAUGGGCUCAACCUGUGGACUGCUUUGGAAACUGUGCAGCUAGAGUGUCGGAGAGGCAAGUGGAAUUCCUAGUGUAGCGGUGAAAUGCGUAGAUAUUAGGAGGAACACCAGUGGCGAAGGCGGCUUACUGGACGAUGACUGACGUUGAGGCUCGAAAGCGUGGGGAGCAAACAGG